UUCCCCAUAUUGGUUGCAUAACAAGAAGGGGGUAGAAUAUACAGUAGGAUGUCAUAGGAAGAUGUAUGACCUGUGUUGGUUUUGGGGACAUCCCUCAGCAAAGGGCAGGUUGAGAGCAAAUCUUUGAGUAAUACUAUCUCUGAGAUACAGAGCUCAGUUUGUGCAGUGGCUGCUGAAUGGCACGAAGUCUGUGUGACUUAUCUAUGUUGCAACUACUGGCUUAUCCAGAUUUGUAGAAAUAUUUAUUGGACCUAAGCCAACAAUGAAUGGAUCUUAGAAAGGCAUCCUUUCCCUUUCAUUUCUUGGAAGGAGUAGCCAUCACAAAGAACAGUUUCUUAGGUCUGUAAUGUUCCAGGCAUUAUGAAAUACAGUGUGGAUUCAAGCAUGCAACAUUCAGGUCACUUGUUUCACAAGGGAUCAGACUGGUGAGGGAGAGCAGGAGAGAAGUCUGUAGCAAAACUAGCCAGCGUGAAUUCCUCUUGGCUACAGGGCAGUCUUCUUGUCCGGCAUGCUGCCAGUCAGCAGCUGGGAACACUGCUGCUGAAGUGAGAGGUCCACUUUCCUUUCAAGUGGCCCGGUGUAAGUGACAGGAAGCUUGUAGGUGUCAAAAUACAGCAUUUUCAGGUCUUCCUACUCAAACAUAGAACUCUCACGCAAGAAGAAAUCAGACCAUCUAGAGGCAAUAAAACUAAAUAGGGAAAAUGUUGGGUAAUACCUGCUGACAUCACUGUCACUGGAGGUAGACCAUAUGGGACUGCUGUUGGCUGAAGUAUGUAAACUUUACUGGACUGUGGCAUGUGGUGAAGGUUAAGGUUCAGUCAUGCUGGAACCCAAGCAAAAGGCCUCUCGAGGGAAGUCCACCUCUGUGGUGUUCAGUGCCCAAAAAGAACUGAAAAAGCAGAAGUUCUUUCACAGUGGGAAUGACCAGGUUGGUGAGGUAGUCACCAAGCAGACCCUGGAGGUGGCUCUGGAACCUUCAGAAGAACCAGAGCCUCACUGGAAAGAGGAAGCAGCGAUGGACCUGCUGCAGCUUCAAGUCUAUUACAGGACAUCUGGCAGAAGGGGCUGAAAAACUCUGCCAGGAGUAGGAGGAUGGGGGAAAAGUGGUUUAAGGUAGAAGUUCCCAAAGUUUAUGACUAGUGGAGGACUGUUAGCCUUAGUCUUUCUCUGCCACUGAGCUGUUUCAAACCUUUGAGAGAGACACUGUUGAAAACAGUGUUUUUAAUAGAGUUUUGCAGGCCAGCCUUAGAGCAUUUAGGCUGGCCUCACGGAUCAUACUUUGGGAGUGCCUUCUUAAGGGGAAUUCUGGUCUACUUAUUCUAAUAAAGUUCUCAAUUCAUCGUUAGAAGACUGAAACUCUUCUGGGGAUUCUGCACUAUUGUCAUUUGACAUGGUGGCUGUCGGGGAUUGUGGAUGGUUUAGAGGCAUAGGGGGUUAUUGGCCUAUCACAGAUUCCCUGGGAGCUGUUGCAUGCCAUGGGGGGCCUUACAGCCUAUUCUCUCUUGCAGAAGGGACAUGCUCUGCCACCCCCAAGGAACAAUAAUGUUCAGACAAAGAACAUUUUUUCCAGAUCUCUUUUGCAAACAUGGAACUGAGCAUGGAACCCUUUCUGAGCCAGGGGGAAGCUGCAGAAUUUCAUGUAUUUGCUCUUCCUUUAAGCCAAGAUGAAUAUUGGGCAGAGGCUUCUUUGUAGGUAGAUGUGUUGAGACCAUCUGAAUGCAGAUAGUUCUUGUUACUCCAGAAAGAGAGCUGCUGAACUUUAGACAGAGGGUUUUUCAUCCCUGUCAUUAAAAACAGCUCCACUAAAUAGUAGGGAAAUGAGAUGUAAAGGCCAAAAUACUAAGAAAAGCAGAACGGAGUGCUUUGAAGCCAGAGGAGGACGCUUGGUUCCUGAAUAACCAUGCUAAUUUUGAUACAAUUCCAGGAUUGCUACCAUAUAUCUGAGAUUAGUUUGGUGUCUGUAGCGGGUGUGGAAUACGUAGGAGAAUACCACUUCUCAUGCAGUGUCUUUGUAGGGGAUAGUCAAAUGAGACACAAUGGGCAAGCAGAACAGUUCACUGCUAACAAAAAGAUGAGGUCCUCUACCCUUCUGUCCCUUUCUCUUUCCAUCAUAACUUUGUAUUUUCUCUAACGCUUGUACCUCUCCAGCAAAUAAUUUAUUCACUGAAAUGGCAGAUCAUUUAUGCCAUUUAUGUUAUGGAUAGUUUUCUGCCGUUUCUCUGAAUUGAAUCAAGCCAUACAAGUGGCUGAUGCUGCGGCCAUAAAAUAGCCAUAUGCAGUAGAUGAUGUGGCUGUGAGCAGGGGAAGAGGAAGAGAGCUGGGGCAUAGGAGGAGAGAAGCAGGAGAAGAAAAAAGGAGCAGAUGGAUCUCAUACUUUCAACUGCAGAGACCCAUUAGUUUGGCUUAUCUACUCAUCAAACUGAAAGCUGUGGCUUUAUGCCACUUAAAGCAGUUCUUUUCCUAUUCAAAUUUAAUUCAUUUUUGAUAGAUAAACUGCAUUUUUAGCUCUUCCCAUGCCUGAAUUUCAUGAACUUUGUUGAAAUUUGUGACUUAGAUGUUGGCCUUCUCCUAUUUAAUUGAUUAAUUAUUCCCCCCCUCCCCCAUUCAUUAUUUUCACAUGAUUUCAUCUCUAACAAAAGAUAGAUAAGUAGAAGUCAAACAGCAACAAAAUACUGAGUAUGAGCCAUGUGGGAUUCAGAUUUUUUAGUUGGCAGCAAACUUCACUGCUUUACUACAAGCAGUUAUUUUUCUGGACAUUCAGACUAGAGCAAAAGGACAUUGGCCAUAAAACAGAGGUCUUUAGAAGUGAUGACUAAAUAGGGAAAGGCAGGUCAGGUAUCAACCAACAAUUUUAGUCUUAAUCCCAUGACGAUUAUACAUUGGAAGCUAAACAUAGGCGCAUUCUCUAUUAGUUAAGGCCAGAGAGAAUCAUACUUUUGGGUCAAGAGAAGCCAAGUCAUUUUAUUUUGUAAAUCUGAUUUCUUCUGGACGAAUUGCCUUGGGUGACUGAUAUCUUCAACAUUCAAUUGACCAGACCAAAACCUGCUCCUUUCACCCAAGAUCAUAAGCUGUUCUUUGCUGCUGAAGACCCUUCUCUCUGUGACAGAACGAUGGGAAAAGCUAGGCUUGAAAUUUUGGAGUGUUACAAUUCCUGUAUACUCUGUUCUUUUAAAAAUUGUCUUCCUCGAAUGAUGACAGAAUCCACCAACAUGCCAACUCACACCUACUCUAGCUCUUUGGAUGGGGCUAGGCUCUGUGAUUUUAUCUUUUUAUUGUUGUUUCUUACAAGUAGAGGUAAAUGAAAAAUUUCAGCAGGAAGCGCAGCAGCUGGCAGUGAGAAUGGACCUGGAGCGGGGAAGGGGCUGGUGCACCAUGGGGUGGUGGCUGUGGAUGUACAGACUGCAAUCUGAGACCCUGGCCCCAGGGAGGAAGGUCUGGAGGGGAAGAAUGGGAAAUGCUAUUAUUAGGUGCAUGUGGGUAUGAGGGGCAUAAAAACAAGGAGUGAUGAGGAACACGGUGAGUUACAACAAUACUGCUUCAGUCUGUUGGUGUGCUGUGAUGGAAUGGAAGAAUUCCACAUUUCUGCCACUUCUUAUAUGCUGCUGUUAUAUUGGCUGGUUUGCAGGCAUAUAUCAAAACACUCAUUUAAAUUUUUUUAGUUAUAUCUGAAAUCUGAAUUUGUAUGUCCUCCAGCGUAGGCAUUUUCUUCCUUUGUCUUUGUAAAAGCAUAGUUCAGCCCCCAACCUUUCACAUUUCCUAACUAAUUUUGUAUUGAGAUGUUUAUUACAUCUUUCUUGCUCGAGGAGAAUCCCAUUUGUCUUGAGCAUACAGUAUUUUCUUCUGUUUCCUGUGAAAAGCUGUUCUGCUCAGUAGGCUGUGCUUCAAAGAUACUUGCUCUAAAAUGCAGGCUUAACAAAAACCAUGCAAUUCACUCUCUCCUAUCUGCUUUAAGCAAUCGCAUAGUAAGAACUCUCCUAGAACAAAUAAACACUGCAGUCUAAAAGCUGAGUACCUUUAUCAAGGUGCUAGUGGGAAAGAGUGUUUUAAAAGAAAUCAAGUUAGUGAUAUGUUUAACCUAAUUUUUAGACAUUUUAAAUUUACAACUCAAGUAAGUGGUAGGGCUCGAAAGGGAGGGUGAGGAAAAGUAUCACUCUUUUUCUCUUUUCAGCUUGUUUACUCUCUCCAUGUGCCAGCACAGUGUGGUAUUCAGUUUCUCUCUUUUCCUAUGAGUUUAUAGGGUCGCGCACCAAUUUUCUUUCUGUGAUUAUUGCAUAUAGCAGGAGGGGAAGUUAAAUCUGUCAAAAAAGUAGAGGAUCCAUACUGAUCCACAGAAAAUACCUGAUGGGAUGUGGAAUUUGCUCCAUUUCAAAUCUAAAGAUCGGGUAAAAUUCAGUGUUACGUAGAGAUGGCUUUGCAGAGAGAGCUGCAACAGCCUGUACAUCCAUGAGCUGCUAUGAGGGUGGCUUCGGAGCAUGACAAACAACUUUUGGCUCACAAUAAGAGUAAGUUUACAACUUUUGACUCCAGCAGCACACACCCCCUUCUCUUCAUGUAUCCUGGGUAACACAUGACCAGGGGAACAGAGUAAUGAUUCUCUAAAUAUCUGAUCAAUCACAGGAAAUAGCUGGCACACAGUUGCUGCUAAUCUUCAAUCUGAGAUCGGUUGCAUGGGAGAAUUUUCUUACUACUUCUCUCCAUGGUUAUAAUCUGGCCUUGAGUUUUUUUUUUACUUGAGAUACCAUCUGAUAAGAGAUUAAGGACAUGAUAAGAAGCUGUUUUAUAUGAAAUUUAAGAGGCCAUUAACAUUCCAUUGAAUUGUAAAAUUGUCAAGCUAAAAACAGCUCUCCUGGUGUUCUGCACAGAUGCAAUAGCAGAUCACUGAGUCACAGGAAAUGAUUCAGUCAACAUUUCUAAACUUUCAGUGUGUGUUUUAUGGAAGAAACUUGAUGUAAAUGUUUAGACAGUUAUGGUUUUGGAGAUAAAUAUUGCAAUUUUAUGGAGUUUGGGGUCUGACGUACCAGAAUUGUGAUGCAUAGUUGUCAAUUUGCUGAACAUCUAAAGCUGUUUGAUUGUUGUACCUAGUUCCAGUGUGGGAUGUACUUUCUUUGGCUAAUGAACUACGGUGUUGUAUUUGUGUAUAACAGAUUACACAUCAGAAACUCCAAGCAAGAUUAAUGACCUGGGAUUCCCUCUGCACUGCUGCAGGAGAACUUGUACAGACCUCCACACAGUUCCCCUGAGCUUCUUGUCGCCCUGUAAAUACAGUGCUUCAGUAAUACAGCCUCUCACAGCAGGUUGUCCUCAGCCCUAAAUGACCUCACUGGGUAAACUGCUUCAGAAGGAGUUCAUCUACCUUUCAUUUUCUACUCUGCUGCUGAUGUGUGAGAAUCAAUAUUUGGACCUGAGCCAAUGGAAAACCAGCAGGAAGUCCAAUAUUUCUAGUUGCAACAGGUGAGGACAGGCACGUCCAAACCAGCAGUGCCAUUGUGGUUCUAGAUUUCCACCCAGAGGUGGACUGGGCUAGUCCAAAAUGUCAAGAGAGAUCCAUCUGAGCGUCACAACAAUACUGGACAACUGGGAUGUAUCAGUUACUCUGACAAGCGCAAGGUGUAUGUUGGCCAAGGAUUUUGGUUCAGUCCAAGCAAUGCUGUUUUGGGUGUGGGUGCUGCCAGGCCCCUCUGUGAGGCGAAGCUGGGGCUGCCCCAUACUGGACACAACCAGUGCCAGUCAACUCCAAUGGCUCUGUGGCAGGGCAUGGCCAGCCCCCGCUGCCAAGAUGACAGCAUCCUGGGGAAAUGUAUAUAAGAGAGGGAAAAAAUGCUGUAGGACAGUGAAGAGUGAGGCAAAGAAACACAUGAGAAGUGGCCCUGCAGCCACCAAGGUCAGUGCAGGAGGAGGGCAGGAGAUGCUCCCUGUGCGGAGCAGAAGCUCCCUGCAGCCCAAGAGAGACCCAUGGAGGAGCAGGUUGUCCCUUUGCAGCCCAUGGGCACUGCAUGGUGCAGUCAUGGAGGAGCCCAUAUAGGAGCAGAGGAAAAGUGUGAAAAGGAAGGAGCGAAGGAGAGGAGUUGUUCUGGACUGACGGUAGCACCCAUUCCCCAACCUGCUGUGCCGCUUGGAGAGGUAAGUUUGAGAGUGAAAGAGUGAAGCUGAGUAUGGGAAGAGGGAGGUGGUGGUGGGAAGACAUUUUUUGUUUCUGUCUUUGUUUCUCACCAUCCUACUCUAUUUUUAAUUGGCAAUAAAUUGAAUUAUUUUUCCCCAAGCAGAGUUUGUUUUACCCAUGAUGUUAAUGAGUAAGUGUUCUCCCUGCCUUUGUCUUGACCCAUUUUCUCCUGCUGUCCUGGUGAGGAGGGGGAGUGAGAGUGACUGGGUGGGCACCUGGCAGCUGCCCAAGGUCUGCCCAUCACCACUGUAUUUUAUUAUCUGUGCUAACUGUGGAUAUUUUAAUUCAUCCAAAUACCUGCUGUGUAAUUUUGAUGAGGAGAUCUUUGAUGUCAGACUGUUUUCAAGGGAAAUGUAAAAAGAAGCAGAGAAGGGAAGCAGACAUAAUGUUGAAUAGAUACUCAAAUGGCAAACUGAACACAAGUAGCUUUCACUAAAAAUUGUCUUGAAAGGAUUGUAAUGACAAUGUUUCUUGAUUUUUUUUUAUCUCGAGGGUGAAUUUUAAGUAAAAGGCAAUAAACAGUUGAAAAAUCACAAUGUCAGUGACGUAACAGUAAAAUCAAAGCUUCAAGAAUGAAAAUAAGUUUCCUUUGUUCAGCAGCCUGUAAUAGUUAGCUUUGAAAUUUCAGUCCUGAAUCUUUUGCAUUUCCUUUUUAAAAGUUUAAAGUAAAUGCUACUUCAGCCAUUUGGAUUUGGUCUCCUUGAAGGGAUGGAGAAAUAUAUCUUUAUGGGGCUUAUACCAUACGUCCUUUUGCUGUAACUUAGAACAUCUUUUUUUGAAAACUACUACACUGUGAAGUUUCCAAGGCAGCAGGUGGUCAAAUUUUUUUUUUUUUUACGACAAAACCAGAAUCUCCUUUGUAGUCCCUGAAAUAUGUAAUGAAUGGAAACUUAAUUAACCUACUAUUAGUAUUUUUGUCAGUUUCCUCUUUUAUCUUCAAAUCCUUUUAAUUACACCUGUUUCUUAAUAAUAUUCACUUUUCCCAGAGAGUUGGCUUAAAGUAAAUAAUUCAAGGAUUGUUAUAACUAAGUUUCAAUAGUGAAAUUGUUGAAAAUAUGUACAUACAGAAAGUACUGUGACCUGUGGUUUAUCUGACUAGCUGAAGAGACCAAAAUUGGAUUUAUUUUGGUGUAUGAUUUACUGUGUAAAUUCUUAUGGGUCUAUUGAAGCCAAAGUAGUUACAGCAGUAAAUCUAAAAAUAUAUGAAGCAAAUGGAAGAGUGAAAAAAUAAUUCAUAAUGACAAACAAGACAGGCUACUUUAUCUCUCUUUUUUGUCUAAUCAGAUUUUAAAUGUAUCCGGAAUUUUGUAACCCACCUCUUUAAGCUAAUUUGUAUUAAGAUGACUCUGCAAUAGUAGAGCAAAACAGAAAGGAGGAAAAUGUCAAACUACAGUUUCAAAACCAUCUGUGGAGUUAUCCAUAGUAAUGAAAUGAAUGGAAAUUCAGUAAGGAUGAAUGCCAAAUUCUGCAUCUAGGAAGGAAAGGAUAUUCAGGUUGGAAAUUAGGAACAAUUUUUUCUCAGAAACAGUGGUGCUGCACUGGCACAGGCUGCCCAGGCAGGUGGUGGAGUCACUGUCCCUGGAGGUGUUCUGGAACCAUGUGGAUGAGGCACCGAGUGACAUGGUCCAAAGUGGUCACAGGAAAUGCUGAAGAAAUACUGGCUCAAAUUUCUGUCUCCUUCCCACUAAUGACCCACUGAGACUCCUGACAGGUCACCUGAUGACUUCCUGCACUCUCUGCUAGGACUUCAUUUUCACUUUGGGAUGGACAGGACUUCAUAGGACCAAACAGAGGGGAAUGGCAGAGAGGAACAGCUGAGAACAAGUGUCCCAACACUAUCUUCUGACACACCACCAGUGCUUUGAACCUGCCAGAGCUUCCUUCAGCUGCAUGGUUAUUAGCUGUAAUCUCUUUUACUGACUCGUUUACUACUUUGCAAUGUGAUGUGUUACAUGCCUCUUGCUGAGAAUAUAUAUAUAUAUUUUUAGUAUGAAUUUGUUUAGCAGUUCUUGAAAGUUUUCACCCAUUGCUUUCUUAAUUUCUUUGCUAUUUAAGAAAUCUUUCCUUACUCACUCUAGGCUGGCCCUAAACUUGCCUUCUGGGAUCUUCUUCAAUCACUUCUUAAAUAAGCAAUUUAGCAUCUCUGAAUAUGUGUUUCCUCUUGAUUCUUCUCUAACUGGUUUUCACUGCCUGCUUGCUUUUGUUAUCCAUAGAAUUUUUGCCUCUUUUUGUCUUUCUGGAGAUACUUUGGAAAAACGUGUUUUUCCUUUUUUUUUUCUUUAUUUUCUAUUCAGUUCUGCUUUUCUUAAUUCAGAUUUCUAGGUGGAUUGUGUUAAAACCAGACGCUAUUGUAGCAGAGUUUGUGGUGUUACCACAUGGACAAAUGUUUAUGAUAUAGAAACAAAGUCUUGUGGAGAAACUAAAUUUUAGCACCUAAACAUCUUUCUUGAGGUUAGUUUGGAUUUUCUAUUGGUAUGUCUUGUCUGUUACCCUUCCACUGGACUUUGAGGACUUUUUCUUAUGUUUGGUAUUGGUAAUUGUCAGUAUCUACAGGCCUGAGCAACCAUAAACUCAGCAUCUGCAGUAUCAUGUAAAAUAUCUGACUCAGUGUCCAAAUUACAGGGGAAGCUGAUCAGCCAGUAGCAUAAUUUUGGCACAUUACUGUAUUAUUGCAGAUACCAUUUGGCAGCUGCCUCCAAUUGUGUUUAUGAAAUACGUUUCCAUUUUUGAUGCUUUCCAAGGGCUGUGUUUUAAAGGACAGUGUUUAGAAGGGACAGUGUUUAUUACUACACUUGCUGGCUUUUGCAGCUUCCUGCCCUGCCCUCCCCUUCUUUUGUGUGAGAAAAGGAACUGAUUUCAGCAAAAUCUAAGAAGGUAAAGGUACAAUUUCACUUCCUGAAAGCCCCAUAGUGAAUUAAUGUGGCUUAGCUCAACGUGUGUUUUCUCAACUAAAGUGCUUUAAAUUUACAAGGAGUAAUUUUCUACUACUCUUUUUGGGUUUGAGAAGAGACUUGUCAGCAUAUAAUUUUCCAAGCUUUUCAUGUUCCACCUUUUCACAUUUUUUCACAAGCUUAAAAGCCCUGCUUUACUCCAGUGUUCCACUUUCUGUUACUGUAGCUUUUUAAACGAUAUUGCUACUUAAUUAUUUAAUCUUGUCAGUCUUUUCAUGAGUCAAUAGUUUCUUGUCAUGUAUUAAAUGCAGCAUAACUCUUAAAUUCUUUUCCUACCACUUUGUGUUGUUGUCCAUAGCUUCCACAAUAACCACAAGAAUUUUUGUCUAUAGUCUGGAGCAAUAUGCGCAAAGCGUUAAUGGUGGAUCAAAUUCUAAUUGUGUGACCAUAGAACUGCAACAAUGUCCCCUUUCUUUUAUCAGUUGCAUUGUAAUGAGUAUGCAGAAGAAAACUUAAAGGUCAUCGUGUACCUGGGAAAUAUUCUUGACGCAUCUUGGCCCCUGGACUUGACACAUUUAUGGCUUCUGGACUGUUGCCAAAUGGCAACUUUGAGGAUGGUGUGGACAGUGCCUUGGGGGUAAUGUUCCUCUUUCAUCACUGCAGCAUGAGUACACAUCCAAGUCAAAAUAUUAAUAUCUGAUAUAUGUGUUUUCUUAUGGCUUCAAAUAGCCAUGAAUAAGCAGGCUCUAAAUGUACACGUCUCACUGUACUGCAUAUCCUACAAACUGGUUGUUGUGAGCUAGGGGUGAGUUUUUAGUGUUCUGCUGGCUUUCAGUAAAUUCCCAUUUUGAGUAGAUAGUUUUGUUGAUGGUGAACAGCAAAUCCAUCCAAGUGCAGCUGAGGCCUGUGAGGGAAAAAAUAUUAUUCUAUAUAUUCUACGAUGAGAUCAGUCUAAGUCCAGAAGAGAUUCACAAAAACCACAGUUUUCAAAACAAACAUCAGUUUUCACAAAGAAUUCCAUGUCUAUUGCUUUGCAUGACCAAACAUGACAGUAUUUUAGGAUAAUCUAAUCCUUUAGGUGUAGAGUAAAAGUUGUCAGCUGGUUGUGCAUACAGAUGAUUAAUAUAUAUAUAUUUAAUUUUAUUCCCUAAUAAAUAUUGUAGAGUUGAUUCCCUUGUAUAAAUUGAUUGUAUUGGGGUAUAAUAGGGAGAAACAAUGUGCAAAGGAUAUGAACAACCGUAACUUCCACUACAACUGUAGUGCCACAGAAUUUUUUAUCUGUAGUCUGGAGCAAUAUGUGAGAAAUGUUAAUAUGCUUCAAAUUCUAAUUGUGUGACCAUAGAAAUGCCUAAAAAUAAUUCUCUGUUAUUUCUGAGUAAGGUAUGAUUUUUUUAUUUUUAUUUGUGGAGUGGGAGUGAAUGUAGAAGAUAGUUUUUUCUACUACCAAGUCAUAGUAAGACAUUACUCAUUUGCCCCUUAAUACUCUUUGUUGGCCAAUUAAAGCUUCAGUUUUCAUUCACAUGUAUCCAAACCCACCUAGGCGCUUUCCUACACAAAUCAAUCUAGGGAACCUGCUUUAGCGGGAGGCGUUGGACUAGAUUAUCUCCAGAGGUCCCUUCCAAAUCCUAUGAUUCUGUGAUUCUUAUUUGUUCUUUUUAAGUAAACAGUUAAAUGUUUGUCAGUCUCUCUGAGCUAUUCUUACUAGAUUCCAUAAAUAUUCAAUUCUAAUAUUACAAACUAUUUAGACCAUCCUUUUAAAAAUGGGUUGCAGCACACCUAGUAAAGUAUUAUCCUUGUUCUUUGUAUAAUGUCUGGCUGAAG
Numida meleagris (helmeted guineafowl) is the source of this 10872-nucleotide long non-coding RNA. RefSeq lists it as uncharacterized. The transcript has 5 exons. The record is from RefSeq and is a predicted model, not a curated record. Lineage: Eukaryota; Metazoa; Chordata; Aves; Galliformes; Numididae.